CCACCCCUUCUCUCUUUCUCCCUCUGCUUCUUACCAGAACGAAAGAUAUCAUCAAUAACCUUUACACCUAAAGAUACUCGUGAUCUACACCCUAAAACUCUGUUUUUCAUUCAAUUUCACAACAAAUUGCAUCAAUCUGUGAACUAUUUAUCAAAUCACACGCGAAUUUAACAACACUAAUCGAAUGGAUACUGAUUGCGUGGUCGAAACCCUAACAGAUUCAGUUAUUAUCGCAUUAAUUUCUGUUUAUUUGCUCGUUUGAUGAAGCUUGUUCGUUCUGGUAAUUUGGAUUCUUAAUUACUAAGAGAAAGAAAGAGAGAAGGGGGUGGGGGUGGGUUUGCUUUUUUUUAUUUUCAUGUGUUUUUUAUUAGUAAGGGCAUUUUGGUCAUUUCAACCCACUUAACACCAAAAGUUAACCCCAUCCGUGCCAGGGACUAUCCGAGAACGAAAUUGCAAAAGUUGGGGACUAUAGCUGUAAUUUUAGAAAGUUGGGGACUAAAGAUGAAAAAUGGGCAAACCACAGGGACUAUCCGAGCAUUUUUCUCUUUUUAAAAUGACCCGUUUGAGAUAAACAUAGCUUACAUCCCGAAAAAAACUCUAGUUGCCAAGAAUCGAUUCAAAGUUAAAGACUCUUCUUUGGUUGUUCCUCAUUUUAGGUAUUUGAAGUAUAAAUACUAAUAAUAUACGGAUAUAAUUUUGGUACUUUUCGGCAUAGUUGUCACGGUGCAACCAAGCGUGCUCAGGGAAAACGUCCUCGAACCAGCCUAAAACUAGUCUAAAACAUCCAAAAAUGUCCUUGUAUUUUUCGGCAUAGUUGUUACGGUAUAACCAGAUACAACUUACACGGGAGAGUGCAGUAAAAAGCAUAGAUUAUCCAGUUGGCGAAUAGUUUUGGCUGCUCUCUUUAGAGAAAGAAUGAUUCAUGCAGUCUUUAUAUUGACAUGCUGGGUAUUGUGGGAAGCUCGGAGCACAAAGGUUUUCAAAGGUGUGGUUCAUUUAGUCUUUAAGAUGGUAGAAGAGAUUAAAGAAGUAUCACGAGAAUGCCUAAAGUAUCGCAUAACAGCUGGAGCCUCCUAAAGCACAGUUACCCUAGAUUAUGUCAAUAUUUAGAUUGAAUGUAGUCCUAAGGCUUGCAAUGUACCUUAGCUUUAUUUAUGUAUGUUACUGUUUUGCUGUUGUAGCCCAGCCCCCUAAAGCACCUUGCUUGGGAGCUUGGAUGUUGUUUGGAAUAAUAAAAUGCUCCCUUAUUUCAUUCAAAAAA
Helianthus annuus (common sunflower) is the source of this 1261-nucleotide long non-coding RNA. RefSeq lists it as uncharacterized. The record is from RefSeq and is a predicted model, not a curated record. The transcript is spliced from 3 exons. NCBI's taxonomy places the organism in Eukaryota, Viridiplantae, Streptophyta, Magnoliopsida, Asterales, Asteraceae.